UGAUGCUGCAAAUGCAUUACAAAACAUAGAGAUAGAGAUAUUUAGAGACAGAUGGCACGGGAGCCUCUGUCUCUAUUAUUUCUGUCGCUUUGGCUCACUGUAUUAUUGCCAUCUACACCACCGUGUCUUGAGAUUUGUGUUUCAUGAGAUUCGUAACGUACCAACUCUCAACUGUUUUCCUCCUCCUAUAUAAAAAGGAGGAGUUUUUCGGAGGUUUUUGGCCAAUUUGGGACGAGUUUGCCCCUCGAUUGCAAACAGUGCUGCUUUGGGCACUUGGGCAGUUCGGUCUUUUCCGCUGGUGUGCUAGGUGGCGUGCUGCGGGGACUCCAUGGGAUGUGCGCUGCAUCUGCGCCGUUCGUUUGCUCCCGAGGUUCUGGUGCCUUUAUUAUCUGGUGUGUAUUAGAUAGAGAUAAGAGGUUCUGGUGCCUUUAUUAUCUGGUGUGUAUUAGAUAGAGAUAGACAACAUACCAGCAGGUUGAGCUUCGGUUUUGGGCUUCGAGACUCUUCUGCACUGUGCUUCAGAAUGGUGGUCCGUGCUCCGGUCCUCCGCUGGGAUAUUAUUAGGAACCCUUCUGUCAUAUCUAAAAGAAGGGCGCUUUAUUAUCUGGAAACUGCUAAAGGUGAACAAGUGGUUGCUGCUCUUCAAGUACGUGAUGAAAACAAUUGAUUGGUUUAUGAACCAUUUCCCCAGUUUCUCGAGUACUAUCAGGGCCUUUUGAAUUUGGGUGAUGUUGCUGUGUGGAGUUAUGGUUUCCAGCUGAAUGCACGGUUAGAUGAUAUUGUGUACCAUUCGUUUGUGCGGUAUAGUGAGGAAGCUGAUGACCAGUGUUGGCAUAUGAAAUUUUUUUCCUUGCCUGUUAUUCCUAAGAGGUUGCCCUGUUCUCUUCGCCACCACUUCAAGGUAGAUGGUUCCAGACUUGGGUUAUCCUCAGGCAUGGAUUGAAAGCAUGGUCAGUUGAAAUUGUUAAUGAUGAGUUCCGCAAUGGUUGGGAUGUUUUCCGUGAGGCACAUGGCUUAAAAGGAGACCGCAAGGUUGUUUUGCAUGUGAGCGUAAGUGGGUCUUUCACACUAUUAUGUUUGAUACACAUGGUCGUGAGCUUAUGUUUGAUUGGUCAGGUCCAAAUGCUCGCUGGCAAGAUUUGCCACCUCUGAUAGGGUAGCACUGCAGUAUUUCUAGCUAAAUAUAUUAUUCGAUCAAAUAUUGUUCCCUUUUCCUUUUGUUUGUUCCUAUUCUCAAAUUUUUCUGUAGCUUUGUGCGUUGUUUCAUCUUUAUGGCAGCCACAGUUGCUGCCAUAGUGCCAUUACAAACCAAAUUUAAAUGAAAAUAGUUUCAGACAAACAAGAGCAGUAGAGUAUUGGGAACUCUAAAAAACAGAGCACAUACUAUGGUAAAUAAAUGAAACCCGUACUUCUUAAUUCUUAUGUAUAUAUAUAACAGGGAUUCGGGGUGGGGUGGGCUGGGGAUCGGGGCGGGGACUUACACAUAUCCACCCUUGCCCGUUCCUCACUUUUUGACCAAAAAAAUUUCACGUGCACAAUCUCCUUCUUCAGUACUUUUUGUCCAUAUGUGUAUAACCAUCGAUAACUUCCUUCCAGUUGUGCCAAACAGCAUCUGUAAAUAACCCUUUUCCUAGCCAAAAAGUAAUGGCAUAUGUAAAUAGCACUUUUGCUGGCCAAAAAUGUAGACUCUUUUGCUAGCCAAAAACUAUUGGCAUCUGUAAGUAAUCCUUUUGCUAGCCAAAAAUCUAAAGUAAUAGUUGAAUGACAUAUAUUGUUGGCUAUGUUGCAAUUUUCAUAUAUUGUUGCUUAUCAUGUUUAAAAAACUUAACCAAAAGACACAUAAUCCAGUUUUAGUGUGGUUUCAAUACAGUUUGUGGUGCAAUUUCAAUGCAGGUUUUCGUACAGUUCGAACACUAUUUUAGUACACAUUGCUAUAAAAGUCCCACUCUUGCUAUGUCUGUGGGGCUGUGUGUGUCCAAAUUUCGGUUUUAGUUGAGAUUGGAGGCUGUUUUAGUACACUUUUUCUUUGUAAUUUUACUGCAGUUUAUGUGCAAACAAUGAUUGUCUCAGCCCACAAAUAGCCUACUUCCAGUUUUCUGCUCUGUAGUUGCAUAAAUAUUGCUUUGACAAGUUGUCAAUAACUGCAUUUAUUAACAAUAGUGCAAUGAUCAUUCUCUGAACUGACAAAUGGCCUACUUCCAAAUUUCAGCUGUGUUUUCUGUGUAUGUGUGUGUUGAGCCUCCUAACCGUGUGCAAUGUUGGACACAGUUUAACACUUCACAAAAUGAACUUGACAAGUUAUAUGUAUACUAUGUGCUAUACAGAGCUAUUCUUGCCUUGCAUUAUCUGUUAUUACUGCUCCUGUCCAAGUCCAAGAUCAGAUCCUUACAAUUGUGUUUUUCAGCCUCGGGAUUUCUUCUUUCUUGUUUGAUAUCAAAAUGGCGCCACGGUCGGUUUGUGAUUCAAAUACCUUAACCAUGUAGCUACUUGACUUUAGUGCUGCUAUGAAAGAGCUUAAUCCAAGAAAAGCUGUUAGAUCAUAAGAAGGCAGGUAGGUAAGAAUAAGAAGUUUAGAGGACUGAAAGGGUUUAGGAGGGACUAAAGCACAGCUAGCUAACUAUAUUGUAUUCCAAUAUAACAAUCUAACUAGGGUUGUCAAAUCUUUGACUUCUGCAAGAGUAAUGUGACAUCUCUAACUUCGUCUAUAAGAGAAGAGUACAGAGUAGCUGCAAAGUUUAACUCAACUGAAGGCAUUGCCGAGACUAAAAGCACUAAAAGUAAGGUAACCGAGGUUGCUAGCUUAACUUCACCUCCACGGCACGGAGGUCAUCCAGUUAGUUUAGGAGACAAGCUCUUGGGGUGGCGAGGAAUAGGAAAUGAAAAUGAAUCAGUCCUGUAGAAAACUAUGUAACUGGUACCAAGACUUUACUUCUAAUGCAGGUAAGCAGAAUCUAACUCGAAAAUCUUUGUGGAGCUAACAUUGGCCCAAUGGCUACAAGUUCCAUUUCAAAUGGAUUGACUAAGAGGAUACUUGCUGUAGCUGGAUUGGUUUAACUCCUUCCUGCCUUGGCCUGGCCAGUUUAGUUUAUUAGUUCGUACUGCUAGGCCACGUUCUCUUUCUUUUCUUCUCCUUUUCCUGCUUAGGAGUUCUUAUUCUAAUACAUACCCACCAGGCUUAGCUGACUAAAGAAUGAACAUUUAACAUUCCACAGACGAAGUGAAUGGACAACUGCUUAAUAACCAACUGCUUAGUCGUAUGAUGAAUGAACAACUUUCUUUCAACUUGGUCCAUUUUUUUUUUUUUUGAUCCGAAGCUUGGUCCAUUUUUUUUUUUUUUGAUCCGAAGCUUGGCCCAUUUUUUUUCCAAAGAAAGAGUCUCUUCCCAAAGAGCUCCAUAAAUAACUCUUUUCCUAGCCAAAAAUCUAGACUCUUUUGCUAUCCAAAAACUAUUAGCAUCUGUAAAUAACCCUUUUCCUAGCCAAAAAUGUAGAGUAAUAGUUGAAUGACAUAUAUUGUUGGCUAUGUUGCAAAUUUCAUAUAUUGUUGCUUAUCAUGUUUAAAAAAUUGAGCCAAAAGGCACAUAGUGCAGUUUAAGUCCACUUUCAAUACAGUUUCUGGUGCAAUUUCAAUGCAGUUUUUGAUACAGUUCAAAUGCAAUUUUAGUGCACAUUGCUAUAAAAGUACAACUCUUGCUAUGUCUGUGUGGCUGUGUGUGUCCAAACUUCAGUUUUAGUCAAGAUUAGAGACUGUUUUAGUGCACUUUUUCGUUCUAAUUUUGCUGCAAUUUAUGUGCCAACAAUGAUUGUCUCAGCCCACAAAUAGCCUACUUCCAGUUUUUCACAUCUGUAGUUGUAUAAAUAUUGCUUUGGCAGGUUUUAAAUAACUACAUUCAUUAACGAUGGGGCAUUGAUCAUUCUCUCAAUCCACAAAUAGACUACUUCCAGAUUUCAGCUCUAUUUCUGUAUGUGUGUAUUGACCCUCCUAACCGUGUGCAAUGUUGGACACAAUUUAGCACUUCACAAAAUGAACUUGGGAAGUUAAAUGUAUGCUAUGUGCUACAAGAGCUAUUCUUGCCUCGCAUUGUCUGUUGUUACUGCUCCUGUCCAAAUCCAAUAUUAGAUCUUUAAAAUUGUAUUUUUCAGCCUUGUGAAUGUCCAGAUUUUCUAUUUUUCAUGUGCUAUAUCCUGCUGCUCCUCUUGGUGUCCAACCUAGCAUCCAAUCGGCCACUUUUGCAGAAUUAUUUGGCUAUGGUGACUAUUGCCCAAAAAAACUAUUGCCCCCAAACAUAACUUUUUUCCUUCAACGGGCAUGGCAUUCGUGCCUUGCACGAAUGGAAAACCUAGUAGAGACAAACAAAGAAAUCUUUUCGGAAAUAUUUUGAUGCGGUGAAUAUUGAUUGGUGAUCAUAAGCAAAGUCAAUCUUUCGAGAAAUACAAUAAAACAUUUUUCUUGGUUUCCAGUUAGAGCCUGAGAUUUUAUUUGUUUAACGUUAGUUAAUUUGGUGAGUGCAGCUGAAGGAAACAAAAUAUACAAGGUUGUGUAGCUCAAAGAAGAUCUUGACAGUCAAUGGAUUGUUUCCAGGGCCUACUUUGUAUGUCCGAAGAGGUGAUAGGUUGAUUGUUAACGUUCAAAACCAAAGGAAAUACAAUGUCAUCAUUCAUUGAUA
Molecule: long non-coding RNA, 4666 nt
Organism: Rhododendron vialii
Lineage: Eukaryota; Viridiplantae; Streptophyta; Magnoliopsida; Ericales; Ericaceae
Exons: 4
Source: RefSeq, a predicted model, not a curated record